This 254-nucleotide ribosomal RNA is filed under the name uncultured bacterium. RNAcentral describes it as "partial 16S ribosomal RNA". It matches the Rfam family "Bacterial small subunit ribosomal RNA", at positions 524 to 776 of the family's 1533-position model. The record is from RNAcentral.
UACAGAGGGUGCGAGCGUUUGUUCGGAAUUAUUGGGCGUAAAGGGCGCGUAGGCGGUGCGGUAAGUCACCUGUGAAAUCUCCUGGCUCAACUGGGAGCUUGCAGGCGAAACUGCCGUGCUGGAGUGUGGGAGAGGUGCGUGGAAUUCCUGGUGUAGCGGUGAAAUGCGUAGAUAUCAGGAGGAACACCUGUGGCGAAAGCGGCGCACUGGACCACAACUGACGCUGAGGCGCGAAAGCGUGGGGAGCAAACAGG